Molecule: microRNA, 21 nt
Filed under: Citrus sinensis (sweet orange)
Lineage: Eukaryota; Viridiplantae; Streptophyta; Magnoliopsida; Sapindales; Rutaceae
Description: csi-miR160b-3p
Gene: csi-miR160b-3p
Source: miRBase by way of RNAcentral
GCGUACGAGGAGCCAAGCAUA